UGGGGAAUAUUGCACAAUGGGCGCAAGCCUGAUGCAGCCAUGCCGCGUGUAUGAAGAAGGCCUUCGGGUUGUAAAGUACUUUCAGCGGGGAGGAAGGUGUUGUGGUUAAUAACCGCAGCAAUUGACGUUACCCGCAGAAGAAGCACCGGCUAACUCCGUGCCAGCAGCCGCGGUAAUACGGAGGGGGCAAGCGUUAAUCGGAAUUACUGGGCGUAAAGCGCACGCAGGCGGUCUGUCAAGUCGGAUGUGAAAUCCCCGGGCUCAACCUGGGAACUGCAUUCGAAACUGGCAGGCUAGAGUCUUGUAGAGGGGGGUAGAAUUCCAGGUGUAGCGGUGAAAUGCGUAGAGAUCUGGAGGAAUACCGGUGGCGAAGGCGGCCCCCUGGACAAAGACUGACGCUCAGGUGUGAAAGCGUGGGGAGCAAACA
This 427-nucleotide ribosomal RNA is filed under the name uncultured bacterium. Its description in RNAcentral is "partial 16S ribosomal RNA". It matches the Rfam family "Bacterial small subunit ribosomal RNA", at positions 355 to 774 of the family's 1533-position model. The record is from RNAcentral.